UAUGGCCACAUCAUGUUCAAACAUCCGUUCCCGUACGAUCACCGAAGUUAAGCAAUGUUGUGCCUGAUCAGUACCAAGAUGGGUGACUGCUUGGGAAUACAAGAUGCUGUAUG
This is a non-coding RNA of Acanthosepion pharaonis, 113 nucleotides long. The record is from the annotation of a GenBank genome assembly. NCBI's taxonomy places the organism in Eukaryota, Metazoa, Mollusca, Cephalopoda, Sepiida, Sepiidae.